GGCGGCGAGGGCGCCCUCAGUGCGGGAGUGCGGCGGGCUCCGCAGGGUUGGCUUUCUUUCUCCUCUUCAUCAGCAAAGGGUUGGAGGAAUCCUCGAUUUUCUUGAUCUUGAUUUGUUCGUAGUCCACUCGCAUGGUGGCCAGAGCGCUCGUCAUCUCCUCCUUCACAUCCUCCCAUAGAUCCUUCUCCUCCUUCAGCACACGGCUGGUGUGCAGUGGGGUCUGGGGCACCUGCAUGGAUUGCAUGAUCCAGGGGUGGUUCAUGAACUCUGUUAUCGUCAUGCGUUGAGUUGGGUCCGUCUUCAGCAGGUUGCGGAUCAGCUGCUUCACUUCCUCUGACACUUCCGACCACUCAGGGUUGGGAAACUCAUACUGGCCCAUGCGGAUUCGCUUCUUCAUGCCAGGGGAGAUGGCGAGGCCAUGGUUGGAGUAGAAUGGGGGGUACCCACACAGCAGAAUAUACAUGAUGACGCCGAGGGACCACAUGUCACAGGAUUUAUCGUACUUCUCCGGGCCCAGCACCUCGGGGGCCACAUAGUACGGCGUGUAGCACGGAGUGGCCAAGGAGUUGUGUGUGGUGGUUUCUUUAGCAAAGCCAAAGUCAGUGAGUUUUAACACAGCAUUGGGCCUUUUGGAGGUGUACAAGAGGUUUUCUGGCUUCACAUCCCGGUGCGCGAUGUUGAUUGAAUGCAGGUAUUGGAUGGCUUCCCCAAUGCUUUUCAUUAUCUCUGAGGCCUCCCGUUCCGUGAAGGCCUGGUCUCCCCUGUCCUGGAUCCGGCUGAAGAGUUCCCCACCAUCCAAGCACUCCAUGACAAUGAGCAGACACUUUCUCCCCUGGUAGAGGUUCUCAUAGACGUCCAUGAUGCGGACAAUGUGUGCACACUGCGACGCCCUCCAGUGCAGCUCCACUUCCCUGCGCGCCUUGGGGCAAUCCUGCAGCAUCUUAAGGGCGAACUUCUCCCCGCUCUUCUUGCUGAAGAUCUCCAAAACUUUCCCGUUGAUGCCGAGCCCCAACACUUGCGUGGUGACCUUGUAGUCGUCCGUGAUGGCAUUCUUCCGGAUCUGCAGGCCGCCCUUCACGGGGAACGGAGGGAACUGCGGCGGCGGCGGCGGCCCGUGGGGAGCGGCGGGCGGCGGGGGCGGCGGCGGCUGCGGCGGCGGAGGGCUGGGA
RNAcentral lists this long non-coding RNA (1169 nucleotides) under Gallus gallus (chicken). Lineage: Eukaryota; Metazoa; Chordata; Aves; Galliformes; Phasianidae. The record is from RNAcentral.